GACGAACGCUGGCGGCGUGCCUAAUACAUGCAAGUAGAACGCUGAAGAGAGGAGCUUGCUCUUCUUGGAUGAGUUGCGAACGGGUGAGUAACGCGUAGGUAACCUGCCUUGUAGCGGGGGAUAACUAUUGGAAACGAUAGCUAAUACCGCAUAACAAUGGAUGACACAUGUCAUUUAUUUGAAAGGGGCAAUUGCUCCACUACAAGAUGGACCUGCGUUGUAUUAGCUAGUAGGUGAGGUAACGGCUCACCUAGGCGACGAUACAUAGCCGACCUGAGAGGGUGAUUGGCCACACUGGGACUGAGACACGGCCCAGACUCCUACGGGAGGCAGCAGUAGGGAAUCUUCGGCAAUGGGGGCAACCCUGACCGAGCAACGCCGCGUGAGUGAAGAAGGUUUUCGGAUCGUAAAGCUCUGUUGUAAGUCAAGAACGAGUGUGAGAGUGGAAAGUUCACACUGUGACGGUAGCUUACCAGAAAGGGACGGCUAACUACGUG
Molecule: ribosomal RNA, 497 nt
Filed under: uncultured bacterium
Lineage: Bacteria
Description: partial 16S ribosomal RNA
Rfam family: Bacterial small subunit ribosomal RNA
Source: RNAcentral